Molecule: ribosomal RNA, 960 nt
Filed under: Xenodidymella asphodeli
Lineage: Eukaryota; Fungi; Ascomycota; Dothideomycetes; Pleosporales; Didymellaceae
Description: eukaryotic LSU rRNA
Rfam family: Eukaryotic large subunit ribosomal RNA
Source: RNAcentral
ACAGGGAUUGCCCUAGUAACGGCGAGUGAAGCGGCAACAGCUCAAAUUUGAAAUCUGGCGUCUUCGGCGUCCGAGUUGUAAUUUGCAGAGGGCGCUUUGGCAUUGGCAGCGGUCCAAGUUCCUUGGAACAGGACGUCACAGAGGGUGAGAAUCCCGUACGUGGUCGCUAGCCUUUACCGUGUAAAGCCCCUUCGACGAGUCGAGUUGUUUGGGAAUGCAGCUCUAAAUGGGAGGUAAAUUUCUUCUAAAGCUAAAUACUGGCCAGAGACCGAUAGCGCACAAGUAGAGUGAUCGAAAGAUGAAAAGCACUUUGGAAAGAGAGUUAAAAAGCACGUGAAAUUGUUGAAAGGGAAGCGCUUGCAGCCAGACUUGCCUGUAGUUGCUCAUCCGGGUUUCUACCCGGUGCACUCUUCUGCGGGCAGGCCAGCAUCAGUUUGGGCGGUUGGAUAAAGGUCUCUGUCAUGUACCUCUCUUCGGGGAGAUCUUAUAGGGGAGACGACAUGCAACCAGCCUGGACUGAGGUCCGCGCAUCUGCUAGGAUGCUGGCGUAAUGGCUGUAAGCGGCCCGUCUUGAAACACGGACCAAGGAGUCUAACAUCUAUGCGAGUGUUUGGGUGUCAAGCCCGAGCGCGUAAUGAAAGUGAACGGAGGUGGGAACCUUUCGGGGUGCACCAUCGACCGAUCCUGAUGUCUUCGGAUGGAUUUGAGUAAGAGCAUAGCUGUUGGGACCCGAAAGAUGGUGAACUAUGCUUGAAUAGGGUGAAGCCAGAGGAAACUCUGGUGGAGGCUCGCAGCGGUUCUGACGUGCAAAUCGAUCGUCAAAUUUGGGCAUAGGGGCGAAAGACUAAUCGAACUAUCUAGUAGCUGGUUCCUGCCGAAGUUUCCCUCAGGAUAGCAGUAACGUUUUCAGUUUUAUGAGGUAAAGCGAAUGAUUAGAGGCCUGGGGGUUGAAACAACCUU